CAGGGAGACAACAAAAUGUUAAAUAUUAUUAUUUUGUCACCUUAAGUCGAUCGGUAUCUCACGUUUUUAAUUUAUUAAGAAUUUCAUUUCCUAAGUUUUUCUAGGUCACACCCAUUAUUUUUCCUGGGCCAUUAGCUCAGGUGGUUAGAGCGCACCCCUGAUAAGGGUGAGGUCCCUGGUUCAAGUCCAGGAUGGCCCAUAUCUCUAUGUUGGGGGUAUAGCUCAGUUGGUAGAGCGCCUGCUUUGCAAGCAGGAUGUCAGCGGUUCGAGUCCGCUUACCUCCACUGAUUACCACCUCUUCCAUAUCUGGUAGAAAGGAAAUGUUUUGAGUUGUGAUCAAAUCCUGAAAGAAUCUAGCUUCCUAAUGAAAUCAUUAAGAUGCUGGACUCAUUGAAUUAACUUCAUUGUUUUCAGAGAACCUUGACAACUGCAUAGAUUAUUUUUAAAGACAAUAAGCAUCUUUAAUGAUGCAGAUUUAUUAUUUGUGCGAAUGCAUUAAUAGCAAUUCUAUUAAGCUGAUGCUUCAAUUUUUGAAGUUAUU
This 541-nucleotide transfer RNA is filed under the name uncultured cyanobacterium. RNAcentral describes it as "partial 16S-23S ribosomal RNA intergenic spacer". The stretch from base 212 to 284 matches the Rfam family "tRNA". The record is from RNAcentral. Lineage: Bacteria; Bacillati; Cyanobacteriota.